GACGAACGCUGGCGGCGUGCUUAACACAUGCAAGUCGAACGGAAAGGCCCUGCUUUUGUGGGGUGCUCGAGUGGCGAACGGGUGAGUAACACGUGAGUAAUCUGCCCUUGACUUUGGGAUAACUUCAGGAAACUGGGGCUAAUACCGGAUAGGAGCUCCUGCUGCAUGGUGGGGGUUGGAAAGUUUCGGCGGUUGGGGAUGGACUCGCGGCUUGUCAGCUUGUUGGUGGGGUAGUGGCUUACCAAGGCUUUGACGGGUAGCCGGCCUGAGAGGGUGACCGGCCACAUUGGGACUGAGAUACGGCACAGACUCCUACGGGAGGCAGCAGUGGGGAAUAUUGCACAAUGGGCGGAAGCCUGAUGCAGCAACGCCGCGUGCGGGAUGACGGCCUUCGGGUUGUAAACCGCUUUCGCCUGUGACGAAGCGUGAGUGACGGUAAUGGGUAAAGAAGCACCGGCUAACUACGUG
RNAcentral lists this ribosomal RNA (468 nucleotides) under uncultured bacterium. RNAcentral's name for it is "partial 16S ribosomal RNA". It matches the Rfam family "Bacterial small subunit ribosomal RNA", at positions 28 to 507 of the family's 1533-position model. The record is from RNAcentral.